GACUUAAAAUCCGUCGAUUUUUAAAAUCGUGAGGGUUCAAGUCCCUCUAUCCCCC
Molecule: transfer RNA, 55 nt
Filed under: Orobanche caryophyllacea
Lineage: Eukaryota; Viridiplantae; Streptophyta; Magnoliopsida; Lamiales; Orobanchaceae
Also listed under: 7 other names
Description: partial tRNA-Leu
Source: RNAcentral